Molecule: ribosomal RNA, 463 nt
Filed under: uncultured bacterium
Lineage: Bacteria
Description: SSU rRNA
Rfam family: Bacterial small subunit ribosomal RNA
Source: RNAcentral
AGGAUUAACGCUGGCGGCGUGCCUAACACAUGCAAGUCGAACGAGGUAGCAAUACCUAGUGGCAGACGGGUGAGUAACGCGUGGUCAACCUACCCUCGAGUGGGGGAUAACUAGCCGAAAGGCUAGCUAAUACCGCAUAAUACCGUAGCCGGCAUCGGCAUCGGUUGAAAGCAGCAAUGCACUCGGGGACGGGACCGCGUCCGAUUAGUUAGUUGGUGGGGUAACGGCCUACCAAGACUCCGAUCGGUAGCUGGUUUGAGAGAACGACCAGCCACACUGGGACUGAGAACGGCCCAGACUCCUACGGGAGGCAGCAGUGAGGAAUUUUCCGCAAUGGGCGAAAGCCUGACGGAGCGACGCCGCGUGUGGGAAGAAGGCCUUCGGGUCGUAAACCACUGUCGAGGGGGACGAUACUGACGGUACCCCUGGAGGAAGCCCCGGCUAACUACGUGCCAGCAGCCGC